GUUAGCGCCUUGGUUAAGCAUUCAAUCAGAUGGGGGGAAAAAACCAAAACACUCAAAAAACAAUGCCUUGAACUGUAACUUGUUUGUUUGACUUUCACUGCACUGGAGCAUGGAAUUAAUUCAAAGACAUCAGGAUGCAUAACAGCUGUGAAAUCCAAAGGAUGAAAACUUUGAUUUUGAAGCAUGCACAACUUCGCCUAAUUGCCUCUAAUCCUCAUCAGGAGUAGUUAGCAUUGUAGAAACAAGGAGAUCUUUCCAUCUCUUUGAGCUUCCAUCUGAGAUCUCUCCAGUCAUUUGAGGAGCCUGGCAGAGCCUUCUGCUAUUCACUGUUGAUAGACAGACUUCCUGCUGGAGAGACAUAAUUAUUUAACCGGAUCCACUCAUCCUGCCACUGAUUUGUUUUACUUUUGUUCUUGGCAACAAGCAGCAACUUCAGUGCAUUUCUCUGCCUGAAGUGGUCUGAGGGAUUCAAUGCCUUGAGCCCUCCGGACUGGUGGCCAGGACCCAGGCAGUGUGAGUGCCACUGAAAAUCAGCUCGUGUGCCACCUUCAGCACACGUGCCAUAGGUUGCCUACCCCUGCCUGAGAAAGAUGGUGUGAUGGCGUGCGAUCCCAGGAAGGGGUGUCAGUCUUCAGAGAAUUCCCAGAGUGACCAGGAGGAGGUGCCAGACAAGUGGUGAGUGGAGCACCCUGUGACAGUGACCAAUCACAGAGGCGGAAAAGUGAAUUCCAACUAUCAGGUAUUCAAAUGAACACUCAUGAUAAACAGUUGAUGAUCAUCUGUCUCAAAUAUGUUUGUAAACACUAUUCAUUAAACAAGUAUGCAUAAUGCUGACAUGAAAUCAUCACCUCUUUGCAGAACAGAAGCAAGGGUCAACUCCAAAGUGUAAAUUGGCAAUUGUAGACAAGCCUGAAGAGUAAUAAAAAGAAUAUUUUCAUCCUAAGCGGAAUUCUCUCUAAUCAUCUGUUCUCCUUCUCUACUUACACAAGCCAUUAUCUGGGGUUGUGUUGGCUACCAGGCUCCCCACACCACAGCAGCAGCCCUGGGAACCCUGGCUGGAGCUGGUUCUCCUGGAGCUGGUAGGCUCCCUGCUGUAGAGCAGCUAAGUGCUAUUGACAUUUUUGAGAGAGACAGGAUAGGUGAGGAAUCUUUUACUGGACUAGUGGUGGUGGAUGGUAUAAGCUUUCAAGCUACACAGCUCGAGGUACACAGUUUGAAAGCUUGUAUCUUCCACCAACAGAAGGAAGUUGGUCCAAUAAAAUAUAACUCACCUACCUCAUCUCUCUCUUAUACUGGGACCAACACAGUGGCAAUAACUUUGCAACCGACAUUCUUGUCAGUUUCACAGUUGCUAAUCACUGAAUAGCAAUUGACAAGAAUGUCAAUUUCCAUUUCAUUUCAGAAACAUUUGAGGAUUCUUAGUUUUGCUGAGAAAUGUUGGUAAAUCCGAAUAGAAUAAAAGCAAUUUCAAAAAUACCCAAACUUUAGCUGGUUCCAACCAGCUCUAUUCUUGAACCGAUUUAAGAAGAGCCAUACUACAGGGUUGCACUGAUUUAGGGAAUCCAGUUUCUGAAUUAGUUAGUUUAGCUGAAACUAAUCAGUGCAACCUGAAAGUGUAGACAAGGCUUGAUGGGGGAGGAAAAGGUAGAGUAGUGUAAAUUGAACAUGGAGUGUCAGCCUUAAGUUUGGGUUUCCUGGUAAUUUUUGGUAUGUGUCACUCUUGUUUACAUUAUUUUUUACUUUUAAAAACAAAUACUCCUCCUAACAACAAGCCCACUGAUACUUUUCAGCUAUCUAUUAUUUUAUUUACAAUACAGCAUCGGUCCUGAGGAUUGUCCUUUAUGACAGCUAAAUGGAAAGACAGAGCUGUCUAUGUAUGCUGAUUGUGGUACUGUAGUAGUAUCUAGUUCAGUACUAUUUGCAUAUUCAUCCAUCCUCCAUGUUAACUACCAACUAAAAGGAUGAGCCAAACAAUAUGUUCAAAAAUAUUUUGAGUUUGAGACAGUGGGUUUUCUAGUACAUGUAGUCUUACCUGUCUGUCUCUUACUGCCUGCUCCUAUUCCCAUGGAGUGAGUGCACAGGAGAGGUCUACAACAGGAUAUCGGGUGUAGAGGAGGGUGUCCUGGAUAUUUGGCUUGUGACUAUGCAAAACCAGUGGUCACAAACCCUUGUGUAAGGAGAUGUCAGGGACCCUGGCUUCAAGGCUGCCAUAUACCACACUAGUGGGUGAUCCUGUCUAUUCACACAGGCUAUAUGUAGAUGCAUUUUUCCCAGCGUGAGUAGGCAACUGAAGCCACAUUUGAACCCCACAGACCUUGUUUUCCAACAUUUUGGUGUAAUUGCUAGACCACACUGCCUCCCUUAACUAAUAUUUGUAAUAAAUUUAUAUGUUACAGUUAAAACAUGGCUAUGUGGUACUGUUGGCUUUCUAACCAUGAGGCUGUGAAAUUAACCUUUGAUCUUUCCCAGCUUAAUCAGGAAAUUGACUUUGGGAGUUAUUCCUCAACUCUGGAUCUGUGGUUAAAGUUAGACAUCACUAAUAGGAAAUCUCGUAUCAGGAAAUGUGUGAAUGCUAAUCCACACAAACAAAAACAAACCUUUGGUUUACAUACAGUUUUACUGGAAUUUUCCUCUACAUUCUAUUUCCUUCAGUAAGUCAGUAAAAAGUACAAGCAGCUUGUUAAAGUCUCUGAAAAGCUCAAGACUUUUUGGGGCCACUUUUACUUCAGGUAUACCAGAUGCCUAUUAUGUACUCACAAGAGCUUUAAAAGUCUGGGAUAGGGUUUUCAAAUACUUGUGUGGGUCAUCUGUAAACAGGUACAUGCAAUUCACCUUGAUUGUAGCUCUAAUUAAUGAUGGUAUUUUCCUUCCAUAUGGACAAAAGUCACUUUCUUCUCAAGGAUCAAAUUUGGUUCCUGGUCCAGGUCAGUUUUCCAAAUCAGUUAAUUAACUUCGAGUUUGUCCAACUCCAUGAUUUAAAAUUGAUCAUAGAAUCCAGAGAGAAAACAGGUUUGGAAUGAAGGCAUAAUUUGGCAGUAUCAUGUUAGAGCUUUUCAUGGAAAAAAAUCAUUCGAAAAACAGUAAAAGGAAUACAUGUCUGGUACAAGCAAUCUAUGAAUAUUUCAAACACACUUAUCAUAGAAUUAUAGGACUGGAAGGGACCUCAAUAGGUCAUCUAGUCCAGUCCCCUGCACUCAAGGUAGGAGUAAG
Long non-coding RNA from Trachemys scripta elegans, 3210 nucleotides. RefSeq lists it as uncharacterized. The record is from RefSeq and is a predicted model, not a curated record. The transcript is spliced from 5 exons. Lineage: Eukaryota; Metazoa; Chordata; Testudines; Emydidae.